CAUAGGUUAAUGAGGCGAACCGGGGGAACUGAAACAUCUAAGUACCCCGAGGAAAAGAAAUCAACCGAGAUUCCCCCAGUAGCGGCGAGCGAACGGGGAGGAGCCCAGAGCCUGAAUCAGUGUGUGUGUUAGUGGAAGCGUCUGGAAAGGCGCGCGAUACAGGGUGACAGCCCCGUACACAAAAAUGCACAUAUUGUGAGCUCGAUGAGUAGGGCGGGACACGUGGUAUCCUGUCUGAAUAUGGGGGGACCAUCCUCCAAGGCUAAAUACUCCUGACUGACCGAUAGUGAACCAGUACCGUGAGGGAAAGGCGAAAAGAACCCCGGCGAGGGGAGUGAAAAAGAACCUGAAACCGUGUACGUACAAGCAGUGGGAGCCUCUUAAUGGGGUGACUGCGUACCUUUUGUAUAAUGGGUCAGCGACUUAUAUUCUGUAGCAAGGUUAACCGAAUAGGGGAGCCGAAGGGAAACCGAGUCUUAACUGGGCGUUAAGUUGCAGGGUAUAGACCCGAAACCCGGUGAUCUAGCCAUGGGCAGGUUGAAGGUUGGGUAACACUAACUGGAGGACCGAACCGACUAAUGUUGAAAAAUUAGCGGAUGACUUGUGGCUGGGGGUGAAAGGCCAAUCAAACCGGGAGAUAGCUGGUUCUCCCCGAAAGCUAUUUAGGUAGCGCCUCGUGAAUUCAUCUCCGGGGGUAGAGCACUGUUUCGGCAAGGGGGUCAUCCCGACUUACCAACCCGAUGCAAACUGCGAAUACCGGAGAAUGUUAUCACGGGAGACACACGGCGGGUGCUAACGUCCGUCGUGAAGAGGGAAACAACCCAGACCGCCAGCUAAGGUCCCAAAGUCAUGGUUAAGUGGGAAACGAUGUGGGAAGGCCCAGACAGCCAGGAUGUUGGCUUAGAAGCAGCCAUCAUUUAAAGAAAGCGUAAUAGCUCACUGGUCGAGUCGGCCUGCGCGGAAGAUGUAACGGGGCUAAACCAUGCACCGAAGCUGCGGCAGCGACACUAUGUGUUGUUGGGUAGGGGAGCGUUCUGUAAGCCUGUGAAGGUGGCCUGUGAGGGUUGCUGGAGGUAUCAGAAGUGCGAAUGCUGACAUAAGUAACGAUAAAGCGGGUGAAAAGCCCGCUCGCCGGAAGACCAAGGGUUCCUGUCCAACGUUAAUCGGGGCAGGGUGAGUCGACCCCUAAGGCGAGGCCGAAAGGCGUAGUCGAUGGGAAACAGGUUAAUAUUCCUGUACUUGGUGUUACUGCGAAGGGGGGACGGAGAAGGCUAUGUUGGCCGGGCGACGGUUGUCCCGGUUUAAGCGUGUAGGCUGGUUUUCCAGGCAAAUCCGGAAAAUCAAGGCUGAGGCGUGAUGACGAGGCACUACGGUGCUGAAGCGACAAAUGCCCUGCUUCCAGGAAAAGCCUCUAAGCAUCAGGUAACAUCAAAUCGUACCCCAAACCGACACAGGUGGUCAGGUAGAGAAUACCAAGGCGCUUGAGAGAACUCGGGUGAAGGAACUAGGCAAAAUGGUGCCGUAACUUCGGGAGAAGGCACGCUGAUAUGUAGGUGAAGCGACUUGCUCGUGGAGCUGAAAUCAGUCGAAGAUACCAGCUGGCUGCAACUGUUUAUUAAAAACACAGCACUGUGCAAACACGAAAGUGGACGUAUACGGUGUGACGCCUGCCCGGUGCCGGAAGGUUAAUUGAUGGGGUUAGCGGUAACGCGAAGCUCUUGAUCGAAGCCCCGGUAAACGGCGGCCGUAACUAUAACGGUCCUAAGGUAGCGAAAUUCCUUGUCGGGUAAGUUCCGACCUGCACGAAUGGCGUAAUGAUGGCCAGGCUGUCUCCACCCGAGACUCAGUGAAAUUGAACUCGCUGUGAAGAUGCAGUGUACCCGCGGCAAGACGGAAAGACCCCGUGAACCUUUACUAUAGCUUGACACUGAACAUUGAGCCUUGAUGUGUAGGAUAGGUGGGAGGCUUUGAAGUGUGGACGCCAGUCUGCAUGGAGCCGACCUUGAAAUACCACCCUUUAAUGUUUGAUGUUCUAACGUGGGCCCCUUACCGGGGUUGCGGACAGUGUCUGGUG
This 2074-nucleotide ribosomal RNA is filed under the name Escherichia coli O25b:H4-ST131. RNAcentral describes it as "partial 23S ribosomal RNA". It matches the Rfam family "Bacterial large subunit ribosomal RNA", at positions 165 to 2263 of the family's 2925-position model. The record is from RNAcentral. Lineage: Bacteria; Pseudomonadati; Pseudomonadota; Gammaproteobacteria; Enterobacterales; Enterobacteriaceae.